ACACGCACAGGCACAGCCUGCUCGGAGUAGUAAUCCAUCCAGCGAGACGACGCGCUGAGGUGUGUGCUGGGCAGCUGGCUGGCUGGCGGCCCCCCAUGUGAGCCCCUCUCCCCCAUGGCCCCAUCGCUGCCCGCUUCUUCAGGGCCUGUUUUCUUCCACUUGCUAAACUUUAGCACCCGUCACAUCGAAUGUUUAGAUACUAAUUAGGAG
RNAcentral lists this long non-coding RNA (210 nucleotides) under Setaria italica (foxtail millet). Its description in RNAcentral is "long non-coding RNA (SITA_LNC000187)". Lineage: Eukaryota; Viridiplantae; Streptophyta; Magnoliopsida; Poales; Poaceae. The record is from RNAcentral.